AAAAUUCCUAUAAGAAUUUGGGACAGAAUUCCUAUAGGAAAUUUUCCUAUAGGAAUUUUUCCUAUAGGAAUUUUUCCUAUAGGAAUUCCUAUAGGAAAAAUUCCUAUAGGAAUUUUGUCCCAAAUUCUUAUAGGAAUUUUUCCU
This is a non-coding RNA of Paramuricea clavata, 144 nucleotides long. Lineage: Eukaryota; Metazoa; Cnidaria; Anthozoa; Malacalcyonacea; Plexauridae. The record is from the annotation of a GenBank genome assembly.